AAAAAAAAGAAACUUUUAUUUGAUUUAAAAACAGAGGCCAAAUUUCAAAUAUAUUGAAUGGUAAAAAAUCAAUAAAAAAAAAUAAACUGUAAAAUCCCAGUUAAUUGUGGACUCGGAGCAAGUUAAUGCGGGAGAACUAAUCCGCACUUUUGCAUGCUUGCAUCAGUUCCAUGCAUUGACAAAUGGCUUCGGCAACUUACCUCGUUUACAAAUUCAGGGCAACAUCUGGGUGUCAUGAAGGACAAGGUGGUGUUGAU
RNAcentral lists this unclassified non-coding RNA (257 nucleotides) under Hevea brasiliensis (rubber tree). The record is from RNAcentral. Lineage: Eukaryota; Viridiplantae; Streptophyta; Magnoliopsida; Malpighiales; Euphorbiaceae.